This 70-nucleotide transfer RNA is filed under the name Ictidomys tridecemlineatus (thirteen-lined ground squirrel). RNAcentral describes it as "Spermophilus tridecemlineatus (thirteen-lined ground squirrel) tRNA". It matches the Rfam family "tRNA". Rfam says of the family: Transfer RNA (tRNA) molecules are approximately 80 nucleotides in length. Their secondary structure includes four short double-helical elements and three loops (D, anti-codon, and T loops). The record is from Rfam by way of RNAcentral. Lineage: Eukaryota; Metazoa; Chordata; Mammalia; Rodentia; Sciuridae.
UGGGUUGUAGCUCAGUGGUAGAGUGCUUGCCUUGCAUGCCUGAGGCACUGGGUUUAUCCUAGCAACACAU